RNAcentral lists this ribosomal RNA (448 nucleotides) under uncultured bacterium. Its description in RNAcentral is "bacterial SSU rRNA". It matches the Rfam family "Bacterial small subunit ribosomal RNA", at positions 328 to 793 of the family's 1533-position model. The record is from RNAcentral.
AUUCCAGACUCCUACGGGAGGCAGCAGUGGGGAAUAUUGCACAAUGGGGGAAACCCUGAUGCAGCGACGCCGCGUGAGUGAAGAAGUAAUUCGUUAUGUAAAGCUCUAUCAGCAGGGAAGAAAAUGACGGUACCUGAGUAAGAAGCCCCGGCUAACUACGUGCCAGCAGCCGCGGUAAUACGUAGGGGGCAAGCGUUAUCCGGAUUUACUGGGUGUAAAGGGAGCGUAGACGGCAGUGCAAGUCUGGAGUGAAAGGCGGGGGCUCAACCCCGGGACUGCAUUUGGAACUGUGUGGCUGGAGUGUCGGAGAGGCAGGCGGAAUUCCUAGUGUAGCGGUGAAAUGCGUAGAUAUUAGGAGGAACACCAGUGGCGAAGGCGGCCUGCUGGACAUUAACUGACGCUGAGGCGCGAAAGCGUGGGGAGCAAACAGGAUUAGAUACCCUAGUAG